CAAGGCUUGACAUAUACGAGAACGCUGCAGAAAUGUAGAACUCUUUGGACACUCGUAAACAGGUGGUGCAUGGUUGUCGUCAGCUCGUGUCGUGAGAUGUUGGGUUAAGUCCCGCAACGAGCGCAACCCUCGUUCUAUGUUGCCAGCACGUAAUGGUGGGAACUCAUGGGAUACUGCCGGGGUCAACUCGGAGGAAGGUGGGGAUGACGUCAAAUCAUCAUGCCCCUUAUGUCUUGGGCUUCACGCAUGCUACAAUGGCCGGUACAAAGGGCUGCAAUACCGCAAGGUGGAGCGAAUCCCAAAAAGCCGGUCCCAGUUCGGAUUGAGGUCUGCAACUCGACCUCAUGAAGUCGGAGUCGCUAGUAAUCGCAGAUCAUCAACGCUGCGGUGAAUACGUUCCG
This 401-nucleotide ribosomal RNA is filed under the name uncultured bacterium. RNAcentral's name for it is "bacterial SSU rRNA". It matches the Rfam family "Bacterial small subunit ribosomal RNA", at positions 975 to 1374 of the family's 1533-position model. The record is from RNAcentral.